This 204-nucleotide ribosomal RNA is filed under the name Pachycondyla crassinoda. RNAcentral describes it as "partial large subunit ribosomal RNA". Lineage: Eukaryota; Metazoa; Arthropoda; Insecta; Hymenoptera; Formicidae. The record is from RNAcentral.
GAAUUUUAUAUAAUUUUGUAUAGGUUUAAUAUAUUAGGUUAUAUUUGAUUGGGAGGAUAAUUAAAUUUAGUAAACUUUAAUAAGAAAAUAACUUUAAUUAAUGAAAAAGUUAAUAUUGAUUAAUUAAUAAUUAUAAUAAAGUAAAUUACCUUAGGGAUAACAGCAUAAUAUUUUUUUUUAGAUCAUAUAUAAAAUAAUGUUUAU